RNAcentral lists this unclassified non-coding RNA (331 nucleotides) under soil metagenome. Its description in RNAcentral is "partial contains 5.8S ribosomal RNA, internal transcribed spacer 2, and large subunit ribosomal RNA". The stretch from base 1 to 120 matches the Rfam family "5.8S ribosomal RNA", at positions 35 to 154 of the family's 154-position model. The record is from RNAcentral.
GAUGAAGAACGUAGCGAAAUGCGAUAAGUAAUGUGAAUUGCAGAAUUCAGUGAAUCAUCGAAUCUUUGAACGCACAUUGCGCCCCCUGGUAUUCCGGGGGGCAUGCCUGUUCGAGCGUCAUUUCACCACUCAAGCCUCGCUUGGUAUUGGGCAACGCGGUCCGCCGCGUGCCUCAAAUCGACCGGCUGGGUCUUCUGUCCCCUAAGCGUUGUGGAAACUAUUCGCUAAAGGGUGUUCGGGAGGCUACGCCGUAAAACAACCCCAUUUCUAAGGUUGACCUCGGAUCAGGUAGGGAUACCCGUUGAACUUAAGCAUAUCAAUAAGCGGAGGA